GGUGAGUUGACAGAGCGGCCGAAUGUGACGGUCUUGAAAACCGUUGCCCCCACAGGGGCCGUGGGUUCGAAUCCCACACUCACCGCCA
This 88-nucleotide transfer RNA is filed under the name Brevibacterium sp. CS2. Its description in RNAcentral is "tRNA-Ser". It matches the Rfam family "tRNA". Rfam says of the family: Transfer RNA (tRNA) molecules are approximately 80 nucleotides in length. The record is from RNAcentral. Lineage: Bacteria; Bacillati; Actinomycetota; Actinomycetes; Micrococcales; Brevibacteriaceae. RNAcentral also lists the same sequence under 1 other name.